This 211-nucleotide ribosomal RNA is filed under the name uncultured bacterium. RNAcentral's name for it is "partial 16S ribosomal RNA". It matches the Rfam family "Bacterial small subunit ribosomal RNA", at positions 524 to 733 of the family's 1533-position model. The record is from RNAcentral.
UACGUAGGGUGCAAGCGUUGUCCGGAAUUAUUGGGCGUAAAGAGCUCGUAGGCGGUUUGUUGCGUCGGCUGUGAAAUCCCGAGGCUCAACCUCGGGUCUGCAGUCGAUACGAGCAAACUAGAGUGUUGCAGGGGAGACUGGAAUUCCUGGUGUAGCGGUGAAAUGCGCAGAUAUCAGGAGGAACACCGGUGGCGAAGGCGGGGUCUCUGGG